RNAcentral lists this ribosomal RNA (461 nucleotides) under uncultured bacterium. RNAcentral describes it as "partial 16S ribosomal RNA". It matches the Rfam family "Bacterial small subunit ribosomal RNA", at positions 338 to 795 of the family's 1533-position model. The record is from RNAcentral.
CCUACGGGGGGCAGCAGUGAGGAAUAUUGGUCAAUGGGCGGAAGCCUGAACCAGCCAAGUCGCGUGAGGGAAUAAGGCUCUACGGGUCGUAAACCUAUUUUGCCGGGGAGCAAGGGCGGGGACGUGUCCCGGCCCGGAGAGUACCCGGAGAAAAAGCAUCGGCUAACCCCGUGCCAGCAGCCGCGGUAAUACGGAGGAUCCGAACGUUAUCCGGAUUUAUUGGGUGGAAAGGUAGCGUAGAAGGGGUGUUAAGUCAGGAGUGGAAGUUUGCGGCUCAACCGUAAAAUUGGAAUUGAUACUGGCAGUCUUGAGUACAGUUGGGGUAGGCGGAAUUCGUGGUGUAGCGGUGAAAUGCUUAGAUAUCACGAAGAACUCCGAUUGCGAAGGCAGCUUACUAAACUGCCACUGACAUUGAUGCUCGAAAGUGUGGGUAUCAAACAGGAUUAGAUACCCCAGUAGUC